CUGAAUUUGACAUUUGGGUGUUCCCUGCUGUAGGCAGCCUGUGUUUCUGGAGUAGAGGCAGGGAAGCAGACUAUACAGAAAGCAAACUCUGCCUUAGGUUUUCAGGAUGCUCAGCUAGAUGAUGUUAUCAGGCAAACACAGAACUUCAUCCUCAGGCUUUGACAGGUAAAAUUGUCUUCCUUUUGAUCCCUGAAACAUCGUAUUUUUGCUAGUUUUCAAGGCAACCAGUAGGAUAGCUACUUGCCUUUUCUAUUUUUCAGGAGAAAGCAAAACCAAACCUGGUUUGAUACCAGAGAGACACUGUCUAUUUGAAAUAGAGCCAGCUUUUGAAAACAAGUUAGAAGUCAUCUCCUUGCCAAUUUUUGUGGGUGUUCAUCGUGCCUGGAUAGCAAGAAAAUUCCUGCAGGGAAUCUCAUGAAUGUCAGAGCUAGCAGGUAACGAAGAGCUAAGCUCCUGCAGAAUUUCUUUCUUCCUUCCUUUGAGGAGGAGGACGAGAAGGGAAGGCAGAUGGUAACUCUUCGCUGGAGCACUGUGUAAAACAGAAGCAAGAUAUCAGCAUGUUCAAUGGCUGCAUUCCCCUGAGUGGAGGAAAAGUACCUGGGAAAGCAGUGAGAGGAGAGAUGAGGAGCAGCCUGCUGCAGAAAGAACUGCUGUCUAGAAGAGAACAUAUCAGGACAACUGCCAGCAUACUGAGCGAGAGGUGUUGGGAGUGUUUGUUGUUCACACUUAACAACCUGAUGUGAUUUAUCGUGCUUUUAUUUCGUCUCCCUCCAAAGAUGUUAUGUCUGUUUAAAUACAGUUUUCACUCUGUUGCUCACUACCGGAGAUGCUUCACUCAAGGAGCCCCAGGUAAUACAAUGCAGCUUCUCCCUGGAAGCCCAAAAUAGUGUUUAAAUGCUUUUCUGCAAAGACUCCGUAAAAAUUGAACACAACCUCUGCUUCGUUAGUCAGUUUGUGGCAGAACAGCAGGAAAGCCUGUCUGAACUUGAAUCUUAUGGCUGUAUUAAGACAUAUUUUUUCACAGUAAAGACAUAGACUUGGACUCCAUCAUCUCAGAAUAAAAGAG
Molecule: long non-coding RNA, 1066 nt
Organism: Gallus gallus (chicken)
Lineage: Eukaryota; Metazoa; Chordata; Aves; Galliformes; Phasianidae
Source: Ensembl